CACAGGCACGGCACUCGUUGGAAACUUGGAAUGCCCUAUCAGAUCGCAUCGCACCCAAAAAUCAAGAGCCUGCUGGAUUCAAACGGCUGAUUCAAACGACCAGAGUCCGGACACUCACACUCCCCUGCUGCGCCUGCCGCCUGCGUUUCGGCCACCGCACUACUUCCCCAAUCCCCUUGAUAUCGCCCACCCGCGCUCGCCGCCGCCGCUGGGCGGCGAUGGAAACCCUAAUGGUAGACCGCGUCCACAGUAGCCUCCGCCUCUUCAUGUACCGCAACGCCAUAUUCCUCUGCGAGCGCCUCUGCGCACAGUUCCCCUCCGAGACCAAUGUGCAAUUGCUAGCAACCUGCUACCUACACAACAAUCAGCCAUAUGCUGCAUAUCACGUUUUGAAAGGGAAGAAGCUGCCGGAGUCCCGGUACUUGUUUGCUACAUCAUGCUUUCGAAUGAACCUCUUGCGUGAAGCAGAAGAAAUUCUAUGUCCAGUCAAUGAGCCAAACAUGGAGGUUCCAAGUGGAGCAACAGGACACUACCUCCUUGGAGUGAUCUACAGGUGCACAGGCAGAAUUUCAGCUGCAGCUGAACAAUUUACACAAGCGUUGACUCUAGAUCCUCUUUUAUGGGCGGCAUAUGAGGAAUUGUGUAUAUUAGGUAUUGCCGAAGAUACCGAUGAGUGUUUUAGUGAAUCGACUGCUCUACGUCUCCAGCAGGAACACACAUCCACGUCCACUUUGGUGAAGUCGAACUUUGCCAAUGAAAAUCGAGUUCUAUCAUCCAGUGUCUCUGCAAGUUUUGGGGAUAUUAUUCCUAAGCAAAUCAAACAGCUUCAUGCUAACAACAUAACAGAAGUAUCUGGUUAUCCUCAUGUAAGACCAACCGCAUUGCAUGUGCAGAACAGUUCAACUUCUAAUGUAUCACAGUUUGACACCCCAUCACCAGCUGCAGCACAGACUUCUAUCAUGCCACCACCACUAUUUAGGAAUGUACAUGCUUACCAGAAUACAAUAAGUGGCGAUGCUCCCACUAAGCAGAAAGCUAAUGGAGUAAGCCAGCCACUCAGAAGGAAAUACAUGGAUGAAGCAAGGCUAAAGAAGGUUUCUGGAAGGUUGUUUAAUAGCGAUGCAAUGCCUCGAAGAAGUCAAAGACUUAAAGAUACAACAACAAAUUCAAAUACAUCUCAAAUUGGAGGAAAUGGAACAGAUCAUUUGUCAGGUAAAUUGCGAGUAAACUCGUCCACACAAUCAAAAUUGUGUUCAACAGCCAUACGUUCUGUGCAAGUUAGGAAAGGAAAACCACGGGCUACAGAAAAUUUUGAUGAAGGAAGUAGAUAUGAAGUCAUUGAUGAAAUGUGGACAGACAAUAUGUCAGGAACUUCAUCUUCUGUAAGUACAGCUGAUGGAAGAUCCUUUGAGCAAGAUAGAGCUGAACGAAUUCUGUUGCAAGACUCCAAAGUGGCACUUGGUAUUAGGGAGCUAUUGGGACUUUUCCGAACACUGGGGGAAGGUUUUAGGCUUUCUUGCUUGUUUAAGUGCCAGGAAGCACUGGAAGUCUACAGAAAACUCCCUGAGUCGCAGUUUAACACUGGAUGGGUUCUAUGCCAGGUUGGUAAGGCAUAUUUUGAAUUAGUUGAUUAUUUGGAAGCUGAUCAUUAUUUUGAGCUGGCACACCGACUAUCGCCUUGUACGCUUGAUGGAAUGGACAUCUAUUCUACUGUUCUUUAUCAUCUGAAUGAGGAAAUGAGACUAAGCUACCUUGCUCAAGAGCUUAUUUCCAUUGAUCGACUAUCUCCUCAAGCAUGGUGUGCAGUGGGCAAUUGCUUUGCCUUGAGAAAAGAUCAUGAGACUGCUUUGAAGAAUUUUCAACGUUCGGUACAGCUUGACUCAAGAUUUGCAUAUGCUCACACUCUAUGUGGUCAUGAGUAUUCUGCACUGGAGGAUUAUGAGAAUAGUAUCAAAUUCUACAGAUGUGCACUGCAGGUAGAUGAAAGGCACUACAAUGCUUGGUAUGGCCUUGGGGUGGUGUAUCUUCGCCAGGAAAAGUUUGAGUUUGCUGAGCAUCAUUUCAGAAGGGCAUUUCAGAUAAAUCCUCGCUCUUCUGUUCUCAUGUGCUAUCUUGGGAUGGCCUUGCAUUCUCUUAAGGUUGAUAUCAUUGAUCGACAACAAUAGACUACUCCCUCUGAUUCCAAAUAUAGAGGAAUGAAGAGGCACUGGAAAUGAUGGAGAAAGCUAUAGCAGCUGAUAAGAAGAAUCCACUGCCCAAGUAUCAGAAGUCCUUAAUCCUUCUAGGACUAAUGAAGUAUGAAGAAGCUCUGGAUGAGUUGGAGCGGCUAAAGGAGAUUGCACCCCAUGAGAGUAGUAUGUAUGCACUGAUGGGAAAGAUUUACAAGCAACUCAAUAUUCUUGACAAAGCUGUUUUCUGCUUCGGCAUUGCCCUGGAUUUGAAACCACCUGCUGCUGAUCUUGCUAUAAUUAAGUCCGCAAUGGAGAAAGUACAUCUCCCUGAUGAACUGAUGGAGGAUGACCUAUAAGUUCACUCAAGCAUCGUGAGAAAUGAACAUUUACUUCGGGUUCAUGAUGACCCGCCUGUGCUUCGUGUUCCUGGCCUAGUGGCCUGCUUGGGCUUCUCAAGUGGAACUCGGAAGUCGGAGCUGUACCAUUAGCCAUCCAGUUUGGAAUGAAAAGAAAAAAAAAUUAACCAUCCAGUUUUGUAGAUUUAGUUUUAGCCUGUAAUCAGAGAACACAUGCGCAGAAGCUGCGGUAGUUUAGGACUCUGUACAAGUGUUGGCGAAAUGACGCCUGUACCAUUAUCAAAUAACGGAAAUAAUUAAAGGAUGAGGAUCCAGCUGAUUCAAGCAGAUUGUUUGUCGCAUCUACAAACCUUUUAAAGGUGUCACAUUCAAAGGUUGAAAACAUUUCAGCCCAAGUAAAUCGAUUUGAAGAAGAGCGGAGGAAAAGAGGAUGCUUCCGCGAGUCAGCCUCCUACUAACUACUGGCUUGGAGGUGGGGGAUAAAGCUAGGCUCUUCAUGCAAGCAAAGUGUAACCAUCCGUUUUCUUGCUAGUAGCCUGUAUCAUUGCUGCAUAUCCUGGCAUCAUUAAGAAACCAUCCAAAGGAGAGUGUCAGUGAUGAGCAAUUUCUGGAAAAGUUUUACUUUGCAUUA
This is an RNA transcript of Zea mays, 3158 nucleotides long. RefSeq lists it as uncharacterized. Lineage: Eukaryota; Viridiplantae; Streptophyta; Magnoliopsida; Poales; Poaceae. The transcript is spliced from 16 exons. The record is from RefSeq and is marked validated.